Scylla paramamosain (green mud crab) is the source of this 6791-nucleotide RNA transcript. It is a transcript of the gene named ankyrin repeat domain-containing protein 23-like, with no coding region annotated. The transcript is spliced from 10 exons. NCBI's taxonomy places the organism in Eukaryota, Metazoa, Arthropoda, Malacostraca, Decapoda, Portunidae. The record is from RefSeq and is a predicted model, not a curated record.
UCUCUCUCUCUCUCUCUCUCUCUCUCUCUCUCUCUCUCUCUCUCUCGUUCUCUGUUAUUUAACACCUUUUAGCGUAACCAUAUGUAAUCUAACCCUAUGUAAUUCAUAUUAGAGACACAAAGAGGAUUACAACGUGGCAUCUAUUACUAACACCCUUUAAUGGAAUCCAGACCCGUUUAUAGGCACGGGAAGGGGAUUAUAACACGCAAAACUUUAUAUUUAUUCCUUAUUAUUCUAUCUAUCUCAUUUCCACUCCUUUUAUUUCAUCUAUAGACACAAAUAGGGUUAAACAUACUAAAACCUCUAUAUCACAGUUUUAUCUUUAUGUCAUCUAUAGAUGCAGGAAUGGGAUUAAACACCACCAAAACCUCUUUAUUAUCCUCUAUAUCAUCUAUAAGCGCUGAAAUAGAAUUAAACACCAUCAAAACCUCUUUAUUACCCUCUAUAUCAUAAUGUCAUCCCCUUCAUGUCAUCUAUAGGCGCAGGAAUGGGAUUAAACAUCACCGAAACCUCUUUAUUAUCCUUUAUCUUAUCUAUAAGAGCUGAAAUAGAAUUAAACACCAUCAAAACCUCUUUAUUACCCUCUAUAUCACAAUGUCAUCGCCUUCAUGUCACCUAUAGACGCAGGAAUGGGAUUAAACACCACCGAAACUUCUUUAUUAUCCUCUAUCUCAUCUAUAAGCGCUGAAAUAAGGUUAAACACACUAAAACCUCUUUAUUACCUUCUAUAUCACAAUGUCAUCCCCUUUAUAAUAUCUAUAGACGCAGGAAUGGGAUUAAACACCAACGAAACCUCUUUAUUAUCCUCUAUCUCAUCCAUAUACGCUGAAAUAGGGUUAAACACACUAAAACCUCUUUAUUACCCUCUAUAUCACAAUGUCACCCCUUUUAUAAUAUCUAUAGACGCAGGAUUGGGAUUAAACCCCACCAAAACCUCUUUAUUAUCCUCUAUCUCAUCUAUAUGUGCAGUAGUAGGAUUAAACACCAUCAAAGUUUCUUUAUUACCCUCUAUGUCACAAUGUCACCCACCUUUAUGUCAUCUAUAGACGCAUGAAUGGGAUUAAACACGCCUGAAACCUCUAUUAUCCUCUAUCUCAUCUAUAAGCACAGGUAUAGGAUUAAACACCCUCAAAACCUCUUUAUUACCCUCUAUAUCACAUGUUAUCUAUAGAUGCAGGAAUGGGAUUAAACACCACCGAAACCUCUCUAUUAUCUUCUAUCUUAUCUAUAAGCACAGGUAUAGGAUUAAACACCAUUUUUAGCAACAGCAAUCCACUUUUUAGAUACAGGAAGUAGUAAUAAUGCUUCAAAUCACUUCUAACUCCCUUUAUAGACUGAUAAACAGAUUCAAAAUCCCUUAAACUUCCCUAAAUAGGAUCAGAAUCUUUAAAACUGUCCUAAAAUAGGAUUAGAACCCUUAAAACACCCUUUGGACCCUUUUUAAUGCAAUCCAAUCCUCCACACAGACAUUGAGAGAAUGGAGCGGGUGGAGCCUAUUCUGAAGUUCUACGUGGGGCCAACUCUCCUCCACUGGGCGGCAUCAAAGGGCUACCAUGACCUGGUGGUUGACCUCCUUGUUCGGGGCUUGUCUGUGGAUGCUUGUGACCGGUUGGGCCGCACUCCACUGGGGCUGGCCACCUUUGCCGGCCACUCUAGCACUGUCAGCACCCUGCUGCAGGAGAACGCCGCUCUCUCUGCUGAAGCCAACAGACAAGGACUGGAGAAUAAUAUCGCGUGAGGAGGUUGGUCUCUGCUUAGUUCGGGUCAUUGAAGAAACUGCCGUGUGUUCCUUUGACGCGGCGAGGUCAGAAUGCUUCACUCUGCUCUACCUGGCCGCCCAGCAAGGCUACCCGAACAUGAUGCAUCGGCUUGUCCCAGAAGGCCUAUCAAGACCUGCCGGCACCAUAUGAGGGACAUGGAGAUCAGAAAAUAUUAUGACCUUAAGCACAUUGGUGAUGAGGGUCACGAUCACCAACGUCAUGGAGGCCAUACUUGAGUCGGCCUUUCAGUUAAUUCUGCAGCUGUAUAUCGUUGGGACGAAUUACACUGAGCUGGACCAGGCUUAUGAUGUGACACUGGGCAGCAUCCUAUCUUUGUCACCACUGGGCCACAACACCCAGCUCUCAAAACAGGUGUUCUCUGUCCUCAUCUCCCUCGUGUCCCUCACCUGGUCCUUCACGUCCUACCACAGGUUCUCAAAACUCAGAGGGCUGACUAUUUUAGACACACUGCCCCUCCUGUUCACAAUAUUCUUCCAGGUGGUGUCCCGCGCCAUCGCCUGUAUAGUGUUCACUCUGGCACACACAUGGAAGGUGUUUGUAGUGUUGGGUGUACACUUGGUGAUGGUGCUGGUAUUUAAACUCAAGCUGGAGGAGAGGUAGAAGGCCGGCCGUCAGAGAGCCUGCGCACCAAGACAGCUGGAUUGUGGGUGAGGACAGAGUAUCCGAAAGGGUGGAGGGGGGCUGGCCAGUGUGAUAGGGGGCCUCACACCCUCCACCCAUUACCUGGUGCAGGUGACUGCUUACAACUCUGCUAGGAGCUACUCCAGGGCUACUCUACCACCAUCCCCCUUCCUGGAGGCCCCUCCUCCCCUGGGUUAGUGAUGCCCGGGGUGGCCACGACAGAUGUGAGGGUCCUGCUCCCCAUGGUUGCCUCCUGUCUCGCCCUGCUGGCCGCUCUUGUCACUGUUUGUGUUUGCGUCAGGAAGAGUAAGUGGUGGUGGUGAUGGUGGUGGUGGUGGUGUUUAAUGUUAUUACUCUGUUUAUUGGUACUUCUUCAUGUUUUUACUUUCUUUUUUUUUCUUUUUGUUUGCUUCCCUCUUAUUUCUUCCCUCUCCUUCCUUCCUUUUGUUUAUUUUUUGUAUCCUUCCUUCUUUCCUUCCUCUCAUUCCCUGUCUUCCUCUUUUCUUUCCCAUUUCUUGCUUUGUUUCUAUUUUAUUUUUAUUUUCUCGUCUUUAUUUUCUCUUUUUCAUCUUUUUUUCCUGUUCUUUUCCUACACAAUCGUUCUUUCUCAUUUUCCCUUCUCCUUUUUGUACUGGCUGUGCUUUUCAUCUCUUCUGCCAUACAUCAUUCUUUUCUUCUCCUUCACCACUUUUUAUUUAUCAUCCUCCCUCCCUCUUUACCUUUCCUCCUCCUGUGCAUCCCUUAUCUUUCCCUUCCCUGUCAUCUGUAUCUUGACUUCUCCCUUUUCUACAUUCUUCAUUUUCUCUUUGGUUUUCUGUGGCCACCCCCUCUUCCUCUUUUACAUUGCUUUUCUCCUCCAUCCUUGUCGUUCAUGACCUCACUUCCUCUUUAUCUCUUUUUUCUUUAUCACUUCCCCUCUUCACCUUACAUCUCUAUCCCUCAUCUACCUCUUCUCUAUCUCUCUUGACCUCCUUCCUCACCCUACAGAGCCCCCCAUGCCUCUCCAGCAGGUGUCCAGGGAUGGGAACAAAGUAGGUGUGCAGGAGAACAAGGAUAACCACAAACACAGGGAGCAGUUUUAUGCCACAGUGUGCAAGAUGUCACCCCACAGGGACCCCACUGCUGUUGACCGAAUCCCUGGUAAGCAAGAGAACUCAUCCUUCAGGCCACGCUGGGUUCCUAACGACAGGUGAGGUGGAGCAGGCGGCCUCCUCCAUGCGCGAUGGAGGGCUGUCACUCACUGCCAGAUGUGUCGUCAGUAUUGAUGUCUUUCUCGUGACAUCCCGCCCGUGAGGCACUGAACAGAGGGCGUAAGCAGAACUUUCUUUAUACUAUCUAGGGAUUGUGAGUUAUGAGGCUUCCGCUUCGUGAAGUAAGGCGUUAUUGAUCCCGACCAUAAUAAAAUCUACGGUCUUAUGAGACAUUUUGCUAACGUUCGGUGCACGUGUUGAAUCCAUGAACACUCAUAGAAUUGCUCCAUUUGUCAUCUUAUUUACUUGAAUGGAAGAAAGCGUCAGUAAAUAUUUAUGAAAACCAGUACAAUUCUGCUGACUAAUAACGCUACGUGUUCAUAUUUUCACCUUUGUUUUCGUUAAUGUUUAUUAUGGUAGUGUCAACGUGUUCUUGAUUCUGCUGACUAAUAACGCUACGUGUUCAUAUUUUCACCUUUGUUUCCGUUAGUUAAUGUUUAUGAUGGUAGUGUUAACGUCUUCUUCAUCAAUGCUGAUGUUUAAAUUUAACUUUCUUUUGCUAUUACCAGUAUACAUAUUACCAACCCCACCAUCGCUACUGUGCAUUCCCUCCACCACAAUCACCAACACCACUACAACUCCACUAAAACAAUAUUGCUUCUCCCCCAACACCUCACUGCAUGUGCGUGCAUGUUAUUGGCCAGUCCACCAGUCCUAGCGGUCCCCACAAGGAUGUGAAAACCCGCGAGUGUUCUCAUAAGCCAUCCAUCCUUUUUUUCUCGUUAAUAUCGAGAGAGAGAGAGAGAGAGUCCUAAAUUGAGUUCAUAUAAUUCAUUGUGAUUACAUAUUCAGCUUGUAUGAACACUGCCAAUUACAAAAUAUGACUGAUUUAAAUUUAUUUUUACAUUCUUGAUCUUAAUAAAAUACAGGUGUGGUCUCAUAUCAAGACCUCAAAGCAGUGUUUACUCGAUCUUAUUGACUGUUGCAUGAAAAAUUACAAAAUACACUGGUAGUUCACAUCAUUAUGAUUAAUACUGUAUUUUUAGUCAUUUAGUUAUUCUCUCCUGACUUCCAGUUUAUAUUCUACGAUUUUUUUUUUUUUUUUAUAAAAAAUAUUUUGGUGGUAUUUACCAUAUGCAUUUUAAGGGGCUGAAACAUGUAGUAUGGGAGCAUGAGGGAGGACAUUAAAUGUUAUUAUGAUAAGAUGUAUGAGGAACAUGUAUGGACCUAUGGAUCAAGUAAAAAAAUAAGAAAGUGCUAAGAAAGUGCCAAGAAUUGUAAAAAAGAAAGUGCUGAGAAUUGAUCAGAGUCAGGUUGGUCAGAGUCAGCUGACCAACCAGUUGAGGGAGUGUGAUGAUAUCUUAGGCAUGUGGAGAAAGAAUGGAAGAGAUCAGUGAAGACAAGUGAGUCAGGUAAAAGAGGUGUAUGCUAAAGGAAACACUUCAUGGAAAGGAGGGACAACACAGAGACCAUUAGAUAUAAAAGAAGAAGGAAGAGGGACUAUGCAUCACCCAGUGGGUGGAAAGCAGAUGUGAAAGAGUAAACCAUGAUCCAGCCCUAGAAAGCCUCGACAUCUACUGGAAGUUUGUGUGUGCGUGGCCCAUUCAGCUAAUUAAGUCAGAUGAAGGAAAUGGUUUAUUAUGAUUACCAGAGGCAUGCUAAACAAGUGACCGCAGUACAGUGUGGUCAGUGAGGAUCAGUCCUCUACCCACACAGAGGCUUAUAUACUAGAGUGAAGGAAUGCUUGUGGUUGUGAAAUUAAUGUGAAUCUUACUGUUAUAUAUCUCUACUGAACACUACCAAUCUAAUAACAGCCACAAAUUCUCAUUUUUGUCAUUCCUGCCUCUUUUUCAAGAACACUCCGUUCCCAUACCAUAGAGAAAUGAGCAUUUUAGUAGUCACAUCAAGAGUAUGAAUCAUCAGGUAUUAGUUCUGUGAAUGAUCUGUAAACAUGAUACUGCAAAAGAAGCAGUUUUUCUCACUUGAGGAACAAGGUCACUUUCCAAAUUGAUUAAAUCAUGCAUUUAGUAGUCACAUCAAGAGCAUGAAUCAUCAGGUAUUAGUUCUGUGAAUGAUUGUAAACAUGAUACUGCAAAAGAAGUAGCUUUUCUCACUUGAGGAACAAGAUCACUUUCCAAAUUGAUUAAAUCACAUAUAAGUUUGUGCUGACCUUCAAACAGCUUUGCCACCUGAGGGCAGCACUUGGCCAAAUAUCCGAUGAGGGUGCACAGCCUUGCCCGCACAACAGGUACUGGGUGGGUAAUAAGAGUACCCAGCAGCAAGAGAACUGUGGUGUCACUACCUAAGAUCUUUCCCACAACUGUUUGACUCUCAGGUGUUUUUCUCAAGAUGUGAUUCAGUAUUGCCAGCAUGUCUGCAACUAAACUUGGAAGCACAUUAUCUAGGCUUAGGAUCUUUUCAUCACGUUAAAAGCAUUUAAUACACAAACACAGUUGCAAAACUAAAAUAGAAAAUCUUUUUCAAGAUACACUAAAUGGCACAUUAAUGCAAUAAUACUUCCCACUGAAUCGAUCUGAUCUUUAUCAAAUUCAACUGUUCUUUUUAGCUUAUAGUUUUCUACCCGUGAUAUCAGUUUGCAACAAUACACUAAAUUUGGUACCAGUUUACACUCAAGAUACACCUUAAUCACACUUUCCUUACUAUUCUUCAUAUCAUCCAUAGUCAUGGACAACGACAGCAAAGCUGUAAGUUUAUUUAUAACUGGCAGCGAACAUGUUUUGAUUUCUCCAAGAAGAAACAAAAAUGGAAAAUUCUGUUUGUUCAAGAAAUAUGCUACAAUUUCCAUCAAGUACAUCUGCCAAUGAUUUAUCAAUAAACUGACACCAUUCCUCUGUUUCAAUUGGUGUGUCUUCAAAAUUGAAACUGUGAAGAGUAAACACUGCAGCACUACUAGUCUUUCCACUCAUAACAGUCAACACUCUUUCUUCAGUAAAUGGAGCAUAACUCUCCUCAUUUAUGUUUGGCAAAUUUGGUCUUCCAUCUUGCAUUAACUCUAACACUGUAUUGGAAAGUCUGCUCCCCCUUCUAGAGGAAUCUAUUCAAUUUGCUAGGCAACUGACCAUACUAUCUUUGCGAUCUUCUAGAGGUACUGGUCCAUAUGUCUGAAAGUCUUUGACAUCCUCUUCCUUGAACCCUGGCUCCUGAGAUAUUCUGCUGAGUUUCCUGACUGAUGCCCCAA